Molecule: ribosomal RNA, 494 nt
Filed under: uncultured bacterium
Lineage: Bacteria
Description: partial 16S ribosomal RNA
Rfam family: Bacterial small subunit ribosomal RNA
Source: RNAcentral
GACGAACGCUGGCGGCGUGCUUAACACAUGCAAGUCGAACGGUGAAGCGCCUUCCUUUUUGGUGGGUGUGGAUGAGUGGCGAACGGGUGAGUAACACGUGAGUAACCUGCCCCCUUCUUCUGGAUAACCGCAUGAAAGUGUGGCUAAUACGGGAUAUUCUGGGUCUGUCGCAUGAUGGGUCUGGGAAAGAUAUUGUUUCGGUGGGGGAUGGGCUCGCGGCCUAUCAGCUUGUUUGUGGGGUGAUGGCCUACCAAGGCGGUGACGGGUAGCCGGCCUGAGAGGGUGGACGGUCACACUGGGACUGAGGCACGGCCCAGACUCCUACGGGGGGCAGCAGUGGGGAAGAGGGCACAGUGGGCGAAAGCCUGAUGCAGCGACGCCGCGUGAGGGAUGGAGGCCUUCGGGUUGUGAACCUCUUUCGCCAGUGAAGCAGGCCUGCCUCGUUUGUGGGUGGGUUGACGGUAGCUGGAUAAGAAGCGCCGGCUAACUACGUG